GCGGUAGUGCUGGAAUUGGCAUACAGACUUGACUUAAAAUCAAGCGCCCUAUGGGAUUGCGGGUUCAAGUCCCGCCUGCCGCACCA
Molecule: transfer RNA, 86 nt
Filed under: Clostridiales bacterium
Lineage: Bacteria; Bacillati; Bacillota; Clostridia; Eubacteriales
Also listed under: 1 other name
Description: tRNA-Leu
Rfam family: tRNA
About the family: Transfer RNA (tRNA) molecules are approximately 80 nucleotides in length. Their secondary structure includes four short double-helical elements and three loops (D, anti-codon, and T loops).
Source: RNAcentral